CUUUCUGUGCAGUCAGCUAAAAGCAGUGGUCUGUCCCACUGGCUUUGCAUUGUAGCUAUUUGUUGCCAGUCAUCUUUGCAGCCAUCUUUGAGAUCUUGUUGGCCAUUCUUCUUCCGUGUGUUUCUGGCAUUCUUUCAGGGUUUUCUUCCCUGUGUUGUCAUGAACUCAGGUCUUUCUUGCUGGCCUCUUCUGCAUCAAUAUUCCUGACUUUGCCAGCCCCUUUCCAUCACGGGUGGUGGCGUUUAACUCUCUUCUGGGCUCGUCCAGAGCAUCGGAGCCACAUGGUUGUGGCCUCAUAGGGCUUUCUGGCUGGCAGUGUCUUAUGUGUAGGAAUAGUUUUUUUUGUGUAGGGUUUUCCUUUGUGUCUGUGUCUGAUAUUUGUGUGUCUGUCUGUUUGGUGCUGGAGCUGCCUUGCUUGUGGGUUUUAGCUMUGGUAGUGUGCAGAGGAGAGUAGUGAUGGAAUGGUGAUUAGUCAGCAUCUGUGUGCUCCACUUUAUGUUGUGUGUGUGUUUUGUUAUAUAUUUUUUUUUGUAGAUGUGGCACAGCAGUUGGAGUGCCUGAGGGAGAUGGAGGAAGAAAGGGUCAUGCCCUAGGAAGGUGUGGAGGAAUGUGGAGAGUGGGUCGUUUGCGUGUGGGAGGAGCACGGCAAGGUGAGUGUCGGUCUGAGAGCGGUAGCAGAGCCUAGCACAGGGCUGUUGUCUCAUUGGUGCUGUCCCCAUUGCCCACUGCUGUUCUGGUUUUACAGGUGCAUGACAGGCCUCGGCGUGGCAGCCGGUUGCAUGGCAGUUGGGAUGGGCGAGCAGAGCAGGUGAAGGUGUGGGAGCAAAUGCUUGAUGUGGGUGGGCUGUGGUUUUGCAGGUGUGACCCGAGCGCCUGCUUUCUGUUUGUGUUUGCAAGUUUUGCAGGAAGUUGUGGAGAGGCAAAGUUGAGUGUUGACAAGAGCCUGAGCAGGUCCUGUGUGGGCCUUUCCCAGGCAUGGCUGAGGAUGUCAGGUGCUGCGGGUGUCCCCCCAAGCACAAUUUUGGAGUUUGGGAUUGGUGUGGUGCAGGUGAGCAGAGCGUCCAUGGCGCUUUGGUGGUGGGCGCUCUUGCGGACGAGGCUGGAGCUGACUGGCCUGGGGGUGA
RNAcentral lists this long non-coding RNA (1124 nucleotides) under Apteryx owenii (little spotted kiwi). RNAcentral's name for it is "lncRNA (ENSAOWG00000014983.1)". The record is from RNAcentral. Lineage: Eukaryota; Metazoa; Chordata; Aves; Apterygiformes; Apterygidae.